Molecule: long non-coding RNA, 326 nt
Organism: Phascolarctos cinereus (koala)
Lineage: Eukaryota; Metazoa; Chordata; Mammalia; Diprotodontia; Phascolarctidae
Source: RefSeq, a predicted model, not a curated record
UGAUCCUGUGCACAUUUGUACUGUUCACUCUCUGGUGCUGUUCUUGGUUGCAGCUGGGAAGAAAUGCUUCAUUUCCGGAUGUGCAGAUCGAAGUUUCCCCCAGGGCUUAGUGCAGAAAUUGAUGUACCUGUGAACCCUCCCUUCCAUUCAGCUGCAACUUCCUUCUUCCCUCUGGUGCCAUUUGUCACAAGAACAUCAAGAUUGCUAUAAUUCAUUUCUCUUCCAGAAAGAAGUCCAGUUGUUAGUCAUUGGACAAGGGUCUCACAUUUAAAGUACAAAUUGUCAGAUUAAGCAAUGCAAGGAUCUAAGACAACUCUAAAAGACUC